This 1344-nucleotide ribosomal RNA is filed under the name uncultured bacterium. RNAcentral's name for it is "16S ribosomal RNA". It matches the Rfam family "Bacterial small subunit ribosomal RNA", at positions 28 to 1378 of the family's 1533-position model. The record is from RNAcentral.
GACGAACGCUGGCGGCGUGCUUAACACAUGCAAGUCGAACGGAAAGGCCCUGCUUUUGUGGGGUGCUCGAGUGGCGAACGGGUGAGUAACACGUGAGUAACCUGCCCUUGACUUUGGGAUAACUUCAGGAAACUGGGGCUAAUACCGGAUAGGAGCUCCUGCUGCAUGGUGGGGGUUGGAAAGUUUCGGCGGUUGGGGAUGGACUCGCGGCUUAUCAGCUUGUUGGUGGGGUAGUGGCUUACCAAGGCUUUGACGGGUAGCCGGCCUGAGAGGGUGACCGGCCACAUUGGGACUGAGAUACGGCCCAGACUCCUACGGGAGGCAGCAGUGGGGAAUAUUGCACAAUGGGCGGAAGCCUGAUGCAGCAACGCCGCGUGCGGGAUGACGGCCUUCGGGUUGUAAACCGCUUUCGCCUGUGACGAAGCGUGAGUGACGGUAAUGGGUAAAGAAGCACCGGCUAACUACGUGCCAGCAGCCGCGGUGAUACGUAGGGUGCCGAGCGUUGUCCGGAUUUAUUGGGCGUAAAGGGCUCGUAGGUGGUUGAUCGCGUCGGAAGUGUAAUCUUGGGGCUUAACCCUGAGCGUGCUUUCGAUACGGGUUGACUUGAGGAAGGUAGGGGAGAAUGGAAUUCCUGGUGGAGCGGUGGAAUGCGCAGAUAUCAGGAGGAACACCAGUGGCGAAGGCGGUUCUCUGGGCCUUUCCUGACGCUGAGGAGCGAAAGCGUGGGGAGCGAACAGGCUUAGAUACCCUGGUAGUCCACGCUGUAAACGGUGGGUACUAGGUGUGGGGUCCAUUCCACGGGUUCCGUGCCGUAGCUAACGCUUUAAGUACCCCGCCUGGGGAGUACGGCCGCAAGGCUAAAACUCAAAGGAAUUGACGGGGCCCCGCACAAGCGGCGGAGCAUGCGGAUUAAUUCGAUGCAACGCGUAGAACCUUACCUGGGUUUGACAUGGAUCGGGAGUGCUCAGAGAUGGGUGUGCCUCUUUUGGGGUCGGUUCACAGGUGGUGCAUGGCUGUCGUCAGCUCGUGUCGUGAGAUGUUGGGUUAAGUCCCGCAACGAGCGCAACCCUUGUUCACUGUUGCCAGCACGUUAUGGUGGGGACUCAGUGGAGACCGCCGGGGUCAACUCGGAGGAAGGUGGGGAUGACGUCAAGUCAUCAUGCCCCUUAUGUCCAGGGCUUCACGCAUGCUACAAUGGCUGGUACAGAGAGUGGCGAGCCUGUGAGGGUGAGCGAAUCUCGGAAAGCCGGUCUCAGUUCGGAUUGGGGUCUGCAACUCGACCUCAUGAAGUCGGAGUCGCUAGUAAUCGCAGAUCAGCAACGCUGCGGUGAAUACGUUCCCGGG